RNAcentral lists this ribosomal RNA (454 nucleotides) under uncultured bacterium. RNAcentral describes it as "bacterial SSU rRNA". It matches the Rfam family "Bacterial small subunit ribosomal RNA", at positions 28 to 463 of the family's 1533-position model. The record is from RNAcentral.
GAUGAACGCUGGCGGCGUGCUUAACACAUGCAAGUCGAACGGAGUUUAUACGGAAAGCGUCUUCGGAUACCGGAAGUAUAAACUUAGUGGCGGACGGGUGAGUAACGCGUGGGUAACCUGCCUUAUACAAGGGGAUAACAGAGGGAAACUUCUGCUAAUACCGUAUAAAAAUAUUUCACGCAUGUGAGAUAUUUGAAAGAUUUAUCAGUAUAAGAUGGACCCGCGUCUGAUUAGGUAGUUGGUGAGGUAGAGGCUCACCAAGCCGACGAUCGGUAGCCGAUCUGAGAGGAUGACCGGCCACAUUGGGACUGAGACACGGCCCAAACUCCUACGGGAGGCAGCAGUGGGGAAUAUUGGACAAUGGGGGCAACCCUGAUCCAGCGACGCCGCGUGAGUGAAGAAGUAUUUCGGUAUGUAAAGCUCUAUCGAUAACGGAAGAAGANGACAAGCCGUA